UGAGGGCGGGGGAGAGACGCUGACAAACCAAGAUGGCGGUGGCAGCGCUGGAGCCCGCGGCGGCUGGGAGGUAACUGUGGUAGUGGAGGCUGCUGUUGAUGAGAAGCAGCGGCACAGUUUGUAAGGACCGGAGCAGAACGAAGAGGCGGUAGCAGUAGCAUCAGCCUGAGUUUCUUAGGGCGCGGCAGCCACACGCCUCCCAGGACUUCGGCGGGCGGCGGCCGCCCCGCGUAGGGCCUAGUACCCGAGCAGUGCCUCGGCUUCAUACAGCGGCGACCGCCAUGAGCCCUUAAGGGCGGUCCGAACCCUCCAGUCCUGGAACCCACCAUGGAGCCGGGGUCCGACGACUUCCUACCGCCGCCGGAGUGCCCGGUGUUCGAGCCUAGCUGGGCCGAGUUCCGAGACCCUCUUGGCUACAUCGCGAAAAUCAGGCCCAUUGCUGAGAAGUCGGGCAUUUGCAAGAUACGCCCACCCGCGGACUGGCAGCCACCCUUUGCUGUAGAAGUGGACAACUUCAGAUUUACUCCCCGAAUCCAGAGGCUGAAUGAACUAGAGGCCCAGACAAGAGUGAAACUGAACUACUUGGACCAGAUUGCCAAAUUCUGGGAAAUCCAGGGCUCUGCCUUAAAGAUUCCCAAUGUAGAACGGCGGAUCUUGGAUCUCUACAGCCUCAGUAAAAUCGUGGUGGAGGAAGGUGGCUAUGAAGCCAUCUGCAAGGACCGUCGGUGGGCCCGGGUGGCUCAGCGCCUCAACUACCCACCAGGAAAAAACAUUGGGUCCCUGCUACGCUCCCACUAUGAACGCAUCGUUUACCCCUAUGAAAUGUACCAGUCUGGAGCCAACCUGGUGCAGUGCAACACACGUCCAUUUGAUAAUGAGGAGAAGGACAAGGAAUACAAACCCCACAGCAUCCCCCUUCGACAAUCUGUGCAGCCUUCCAAGUUCAACAGCUAUGGCCGGCGGGCCAAGAGACUGCAGCCUGAUCCGGAACCCACGGAGGAAGACAUUGAAAAGAAUCCGGAGCUAAAGAAGUUACAGAUCUAUGGGGCAGGCCCCAAGAUGAUGGGCCUGGGCCUUAUGGCCAAGGAUAAGACUCUGCGGAAGAAAGAUAAGGAAGGGCCCGAGUGUCCCCCGACUGUAGUGGUAAAGGAGGAGCCAGGUGGGGACAUGAAGGUGGAGUCAGCCUCACCUAAGACCUUCCUGGAGGGCAAGGAGGAGCUGAGUCACAGCCCAGAGCCCUGCACCAAGAUGACCAUGAGGCUGCGGAGGAACCACAGCAGUGCCCAGUUUAUUGAGUCAUAUGUAUGCCGGAUGUGUUCACGUGGAGAUGAGGACGACAAGCUCCUGCUAUGUGAUGGCUGUGAUGACAACUACCACAUUUUCUGCCUGCUGCCUCCUCUGCCUGAGAUUCCCAAGGGUGUCUGGCGGUGCCCAAAGUGUGUCAUGGCGGAGUGUAAGCGCCCCCCUGAAGCCUUUGGCUUUGAGCAGGCUACCCGGGAAUACACUCUACAGAGCUUUGGCGAGAUGGCUGACUCCUUUAAAGCUGAUUACUUCAACAUGCCCGUGCAUAUGGUGCCCACAGAACUCGUGGAGAAGGAGUUCUGGCGGCUGGUGAAUAGCAUUGAGGAAGAUGUGACUGUUGAGUAUGGGGCUGACAUCCAUUCCAAAGAAUUUGGCAGUGGUUUCCCUGUCAGCGACAGUAAGCGGCACCUAACCCCCGAGGAGGAGGAAUAUGCUACCAGUGGUUGGAACCUGAAUGUGAUGCCGGUGUUGGAGCAGUCUGUACUGUGCCACAUCAAUGCAGAUAUCUCUGGCAUGAAGGUGCCCUGGCUAUAUGUGGGCAUGGUCUUCUCAGCCUUUUGCUGGCAUAUUGAAGAUCACUGGAGUUACUCCAUUAACUACCUCCACUGGGGUGAGCCGAAGACCUGGUAUGGGGUACCCUCACUUGCAGCAGAACAUUUGGAAGAGGUGAUGAAGAAGCUGACACCUGAGCUCUUUGAUAGCCAGCCUGACCUCUUGCACCAACUUGUCACCCUCAUGAAUCCCAACACCCUAAUGUCCCAUGGUGUGCCGGUUGUCCGCACAAACCAGUGUGCAGGAGAAUUCGUUAUUACCUUCCCUCGUGCUUACCACAGUGGCUUCAACCAAGGCUACAACUUUGCAGAGGCUGUCAAUUUCUGCACGGCUGACUGGUUGCCAGCUGGGCGCCAGUGCAUUGAGCACUACCGCCGCCUCCGGAGGUACUGUGUUUUCUCCCAUGAGGAGCUCAUCUGCAAGAUGGCUGCCUGCCCAGAGAAGCUGGACCUGAACCUGGCAGCAGCUGUACACAAGGAGAUGUUCAUCAUGGUGCAGGAAGAGCGGCGUCUACGCAAGGCCCUGCUGGAGAAGGGCAUCACGGAAGCUGAGCGAGAGGCUUUUGAGCUGCUUCCAGAUGAUGAGCGCCAGUGCAUCAAGUGCAAGACCACGUGCUUCUUAUCAGCCCUGGCCUGCUACGACUGUCCAGACGGCCUCGUCUGCCUCUCCCACAUCAAUGACCUCUGCAAGUGCUCCAGUAGCCGGCAGUACCUGCGGUAUCGGUACACCUUGGAUGAGCUCCCUGCCAUGCUGCAUAAGCUGAAGGUUCGGGCAGAGUCCUUUGAUACCUGGGCCAACAAAGUGCGCGUGGCCCUGGAGGUGGAGGAUGGGCGGAAGCGCAGCCUUGAAGAGUUGAGGGCACUAGAGUCUGAAGCCCGUGAGCGGAGGUUUCCUAACAGUGAGCUGCUGCAGCAACUGAAGAACUGCCUGAGUGAGGCGGAAGCUUGUGUGUCCCGGGCUCUGGGACUGGUCAGCGGCCAGGAAGCUGGCCCCCACAGGGUGGCUGGUCUACAGAUGACUCUGGCUGAGCUCCGGGCCUUUCUGGACCAAAUGAACAACCUACCGUGUGCCAUGCACCAGAUUGGGGAUGUCAAGGGUAUUCUGGAACAGGUGGAGGCCUACCAGGCUGAGGCCCGUGAAGCCCUGGCCUCAUUGCCCUCCAGUCCAGGACUACUGCAUUCCUUGUUUGAGAGGGGGCGGCAGCUGGGGGUGGAGGUGCCUGAGGCCCAGCAGCUCCAGCGACAGGUGGAACAGGCACGAUGGUUGGAUGAAGUGAAGCGCACACUGGCCCCCUCAGCCCGAAGGGGCACCCUGGCUGUCAUGCGGGGACUGUUGGUUGCGGGUGCCAGUGUAGCCCCUAGCCCUGCUGUGGAUAAGGCCCAGGCAGAGCUGCAGGAGCUGCUGACCAUUGCUGAACGCUGGGAGGAGAAGGCCAAUCUCUGCCUGGAGGCCAGGCAGAAGCAUCCACCAGCCACGCUUGAGGCCAUAAUCCAUGAGGCAGAAAACAUCCCUGUUCACUUGCCCAACAUCCAGGCUCUCAAGGAGGCUCUUGCUAAGGCCCGGGCCUGGAUUGCUGAUGUGGAUGAGAUCCAAAAUGGUGACCACUACCCGUGUUUGGAUGACUUGGAGGGCCUGGUGGCUGUGGGCCGGGACCUACCCGUGGGGCUGGAGGAGCUGAGACAGCUAGAGCUACAGGUCCUGACAGCACACUCCUGGAGGGAAAAGGCUUCCAAAACCUUCCUCAAGAAGAAUUCUUGCUACACGCUGCUAGAGGUGCUCUGCCCGUGUGCAGACGCUGGCUCAGACAGCACCAAGCGUGGCCGGUGGAUGGAGAAGGAGCUGGGAUUAUACAAAUCUGACACGGAGCUUCUGGGACUGUCUGCACAGGACCUCAGGGACCCAGGCUCUGUGAUCGUGGCCUUCAAGGAGGGGGAGCAGAAGGAGAAGGAGGGUAUCCUGCAGCUGCGUCGCACCAACUCCGCCAAGCCCAGUCCACUGGUGUCGUCGACCACAGCUUCCUCUGCAGCCUCUAUCUGUGUGUGUGGGCAGGUGCCGGCUGGGGUGGGAGCUCUGCAGUGUGACCUGUGUCAGGACUGGUUCCAUGGGCGGUGUGUCUCGGUUCCCCGCCUCCUCAGCUCCCCAAAGCCCAGUCCCACCUCAUCCCCACUGCUGGCCUGGUGGGAGUGGGACACCAAAUUCUUGUGUCCGCUGUGCAUGCGCUCACGGCGCCCACGCCUGGAGACCAUCCUGGCACUGCUGGUAGCCCUGCAGAGACUGCCUGUGCGGCUGCCUGAGGGUGAGGCCCUACAGUGCCUCACAGAGAGGGCCAUCAGCUGGCAAGGCCGUGCCAGGCAGGCUCUGGCCUCUGAGGAUGUGACUGCUCUGUUGGGACGGCUGGCUGAGCUUCGCCAGCAGCUGCAGGCUGAACCCAGGUCCGAGGAGCCCCCUACCUACCCUUCAACCCCUGCCUCUGACCCUCUCAGAGAAGGCAGUGGCAAGGAUAUGCCUAAGGUCCAGGGGCUGGUGGAGAAUGGAGACAGCGUGACCAGUCCUGAGAAGGUAGCCCCUGGGGAGGGCUCAGGUAAGAGAGACCUGGAGCUGCUGUCCUCACUGUUGCCACAGUUGACUGGCCCUGUGUUGGAGCUGCCUGAGGCAACCCGGGCCCCUCUGCAGGAGCUCAUGUUGGAGGGGGACCUGCUUGAGGUGACCCUGGAUGAGAACCACAGCAUCUGGCAGCUGCUGCAGGCUGGGCAGCCUCCAGACCUGGAGCGGAUCCGCACACUUCUGGAGCUGGAGAAGGCAGAGCGCCAUGGGAGCCGGGCACGGGGCCGGGCGCUGGAGAGGAGGCGGCGGCGGAAGGUGGAUCGGGGUGGGGAGGGCGAUGAUCCAGCCCGAGAGGAGCUAGAGCCAAAGAGGGUACGGAGCUCAGGGCCAGAGGCUGAGGAGGCCCAGGAGGAGGAGGAGCUGGAGGAGGAGACUGGGGGUGAGGGGCCCCCGCCACCCUUGCCCACCACUGGCAGCCCCAGCACCCAGGAGAACGAGAAUGGCUUGGGGCUGGCACUAGGGGCCAGUUCAGGUCCCUCGGCCCCUUUGCCCACUCUGUCUCCACAGCUGCAUGUGCCCUGCCCACAGCAGCCACCUCAGCAACAGUUGUGACAGUGGCUAAGCCUAGCACAGACCCCCAACAGAGACCCCACCACCCCCGCCCUUGGCCUCAAGGAUCCUCUUUCUGACCAUCAAGCCUGCAUCUUGGGAGAAAUAAAACCCUUAGCAACAUUUUUUGGAAACAUGUUUCUGAAGUGCAUUUCUCUUGGAACUGGAGAACAGUGCCUCCAUCACCUGUAGUGGAGCAGCUGCAGUGCUGACGGGAGCGCUAGGGCUGAAGCCAGGUAGCUCUGGGUUCUGAAACCGAGUUCCACCAGGUUCUCCUUAACCGUGUGGGCAAGACCUCCCUGAGUGUCCCCCGACUCCACCCUCAAGCCAGUUUCCCCAUCUUCCACCAGAUGGGCCCUAGCACCUCUCACCUGAACUCCCAACUUAAUGCCCUCCAUUCUUUCCUUCUCAAGCCCCAAGAGGGAUUUUUUUUGCCUUUAUUGAGGUACAAUUUGCAUAUCAUAAAAUUCACCUGUUUUAAAUGUACAACUCAGUGAUUCAGAGGGAUGUUUCCAAACUGCAAAUCUGAUCAUAUCUACUGUUUAAAACUGUCCAUGAUGUUUCAUUGCUCUUAAGAUCAAGAUUAUAAUCUCAUUCUUUCUGGAAUGCUUUUCUGUCUGACCCAUAUGCCACAUGUAGGGACUUUUCCCUGAUUUUUCUCCACCCUAAAGGGUUCUCUAUGCCCCUGUGAAUGGGAACUAAAGCUCAGAUGUGUGGUCGUUUGCAAACCCUGAGUUAACUUUUUAAACACAGUUUUACUGCAAUAUAAUUUAUGUACUAUAUGUACUGUUCACAAUUCAGUGGCUUUUAGUAUAUUCCAGUUGUGCAAACAUCACCACAAAAGAUUUUAAGAGUGUUUCCAUCAUUCCAAAAAGAAUCUCCAACUCUAGGUAUUGCCCUCCCAGCCCUAUGCCACCACUAACCUAUGUGAAUUUGCCUAUUUUGAACAUUUUAUAUAAACGGAAUCAUACAAUA
This is an RNA transcript of Manis pentadactyla (Chinese pangolin), 5982 nucleotides long. It is a transcript of the gene named lysine demethylase 5C, with no coding region annotated. The transcript is spliced from 27 exons. The record is from RefSeq and is a predicted model, not a curated record. NCBI's taxonomy places the organism in Eukaryota, Metazoa, Chordata, Mammalia, Pholidota, Manidae.